UACGGGGGGUGCGAGCGUUGAUCGGAAUAACUGGGCGUAAAGGGCACGCAGGCGGACUUUUAAGUGAGGUGUGAAAUCCCCGGGCUUAACCUGGGAAUUUCAUUUCAUACUGGGAGACUUGAGUACUUUAGGGAGGGGUAGAAUUCCACGUGUAGCGGUGAAAUGCGUAGAGAUGUGGAGGAAUACCGAGGGCGAAGGCAGCCCCUUGGGAAUGUACUGACGCUCAUGUGCGAAAGCGUGGGGAGCAAACAGG
RNAcentral lists this ribosomal RNA (253 nucleotides) under uncultured bacterium. Its description in RNAcentral is "partial 16S ribosomal RNA". It matches the Rfam family "Bacterial small subunit ribosomal RNA", at positions 524 to 776 of the family's 1533-position model. The record is from RNAcentral.